AACACGGACCAAGGAGUCUAACAUGUGCGCGAGUCAUUGGGUUUACUAAACCUAAAGGCGCAAUGAAAGUGAAGGUCUUCCUUAGCGUUGGCCGAGGGAGGAUGGCUCGAGUCACGAUUCGAGCCCGCACUCCCGGGGCGUCUCGUGCUCAUUGCGAGCAGAGGCGCACCCAGAGCGUACACGUUGGGACCCGAAAGAUGGUGAACUAUGCCUGGUCAGGACGAAGUCAGGGGAAACCCUGAUGGAGGUCCGUAGCGAUUCUGACGUGCAAAUCGAUCGUCGGAACUGGGUAUAGGGGCGAAAGACUAAUCGAACCAUCUAGUAGCUGGUUCCUUCCGA
Molecule: ribosomal RNA, 339 nt
Filed under: Encarsia formosa
Lineage: Eukaryota; Metazoa; Arthropoda; Insecta; Hymenoptera; Aphelinidae
Also listed under: 1 other name
Description: eukaryotic LSU rRNA
Rfam family: Eukaryotic large subunit ribosomal RNA
Source: RNAcentral